This 1081-nucleotide long non-coding RNA is filed under the name Oryctolagus cuniculus (rabbit). Its description in RNAcentral is "lncRNA (ENSOCUG00000032116.1)". The record is from RNAcentral. Lineage: Eukaryota; Metazoa; Chordata; Mammalia; Lagomorpha; Leporidae.
GCUGAGGUGUGUGUGUGGGGGGCGGGGGCAGGGGAGGGAGGAGCUGCGUGCAGAGGGGAGUGAUGCCGGAGUGGGCCUGGGCGCUCUGCAGGUGAAGGCGGCAGGGACACCGGGUACAGGGAGCCUAGCAAGGAGCAGGGGAAUCUUGCUGGCUGUCUGGAUGCAAGGACCUCAGUCUGACCCUGGCCAUGGACUUGGGGGAGCAAACUGCCGGGGUGCAGGGGAGCCACGACAUGUGGGGGAGGAGUCACCCUAGCAGCCCCUUGGUGCUUGACACACGGGGACAGUGGGUCUGGGCCGCCCAGGGGCAGAAGCCAUCCCUGCGGAUGAGACAGAUGCUGGAGAUGGAGAAGAGGCCCCGGAGCGGGCAGGAUGUGAUCAGGGAGAAAGGAGGAGCAGAGGGAGGGCGGCGGGUGCUUGGGGCGCAGCUCAGCCACAUAGGUAGGACAUGGAGGCCGGGAACAGGCCACACAGGGCACUGCACUGAGGCCUGGACAUGUUUAACCCAUUCAGUCCUGACAGCUGCUCCCUGUGAUAGUUGUGUUGGCUUCGUUUAUUUUUUAAGAGGUGUAUUUAUUUAUUUGCAAGUCAGAGAGAGAGAGAGAGAGAGAGAGCGCUUCCAUCUGCUGUUUCACUCCCUAAAUGGCUGCCACAGCCAAGACUGGAGCCAGGAACUCCAACCGGGUCUCCCACGUAGCUGGCAGGGACCCUAGCACCUGAAUCUCUUCUGUUGCGUUCCCAGGCAUAGUAGCAGGGAGCUGGAACAGAACCCGAACAGAUGGGACUCGAACUUGUGCUCCUAUAUGGGACGCCAGCGUUGCUGGCAGUGGCUUAACCCCCUGCACCACAAGAGCAGCCCCUAUUUCCCCAUUUUAUGGAUGUAGAAACAGAGGGCACAGAGGGACGUUUAAUGGCUCUACCAAGCUUUCACUGCCAGUUAGUGACAGAGCCAGGCUUUGAGCCUGGACACCAAAGCCUUGCAGGACGGCACAGCCUGCUGGAGGUCGGGCAGCCCCAGCCCUCAGCAGCCCCUCUGCUGGCCUACAUGGGCGCACGGCCCCAUUGUUAGAAUGGCCUUGGG